GCCCCACCCCCUCCGAGGCCGAAAUCUGCGGAAGUUAAACAGCUCGAGGAUGGAGUCGGCGGCGUUAAGUUCCUAAUACGCGCGUUAUUUCCCAAACUCAGAAGGAUGGAAGAGGGCGCUGUGUGGGCAGGGGGCGUCGGGUCCCUCCGGAGCACAGUUAGGUGGGGGGCUGUCCCAUCCACUUGCCCAGGUGCAGUGGCCGCUAAGAAUCCAGCCAAGGCACCAACGCUGCGCCCCACACGCGGGAUGAUUGGGAUGCACAGGGGUGCAGAGUAGAGGGUCUCCGGGCGGUUCUCCACCGACUCCCUAGUGCGUCUCACCACGCGCCAGCCUUGGUGACCGCACUACACGUAUGAACUCCUUUGACCCUCGCAACAGCCGUCGAGAAAGGCACUCCCCCCACCCCCCACCGCGAUUUCCACUUCGCAGACCUGGAAACCGCAUCAGAAAGAGGUGAGGUGACUGCUCCGCAUCCGCAGACCCAGGACGCGGAGCUCUGGCCUCUGGAUGGCGGCGACUGCGCUUCCUUCUCCCUCCAGUUUCAGGCUGGGGGACACUCACCCCAGGGACGCGGGGGCGGGUGUGUGUGUUGGGGGGGUGCUGUAGGAGGGCCCGAGCAUCCUUAAGGGGCGGCUGCUGGAAGGAGAGCCAAAGAUCCAAAGAGGAGGGAGGAAUCCAAGGAUUCGGUGCCUCUAACCUACCUGGGGAACACUCUUCCUCAGAAACAAAGAGUAGUAUUCAAUAAUCAAACUAAGUCGGCUACAGCAAAUGGAACUUUCUGAGCCAGGGAUUGAAUCCGAGCCACAGCUUUGGCAACCCUGGAUCGUCUAACCCACUGCACUGGGCCAGGGAUCAAACCCACUCCUCCACAGCAACCCGAGCCACUGCAUUUGGAUCCUUAACCCACUGUGUCAUGGCAGGAACACAAGAAGGUAUAUUUUCAUCACUGGAAAAAUAAAAAAAAUAAUGUUACAAAAACGUAGACCCUCUCCAUCCUCCACCGCCAGCAGCAGCAAAAACAAAAUCACACACAGAAAAACUAAGAACAUGGUUUGAGGGAGAAGUGAGUUGGAAGCUGAGUUCAAGAUUGUCCUAACCCAGGACAAUUUGGCUUAAAACAGAAAAGGGAAAUGGCCAUAAACAUCUCUCAGGAAGGGUGGGGCCUCUGGUGGAAAGACAACAUCAAGGCACAGGCUAGGAUUUUCACAGGAUUCAUGCUAGCAAAAUGUUAUACAAGAAAGGUAAUUUUUGCAUCCUUGCCCAGACUGCAUUGAGAAAGACUAGUCAGAAAGUUACUGGUAUGGUUUUAAAGUGGUUAAUGCCUUGUUAUUAGGUGAGAACAGGGUGAAAGGGUGAUUCUCAGAACAUCUCAGUGGUCAAAUUCAGUAGGGAAUGGAGAGACAACCUCGCUGGCAUUUAGAGGUACCAAGACUCUACAUGGAAAAGAACAGUCUUUUCCGAUGCCCAAGAAAUUGGCUGAGAGAUGAUUUUGAUGGAAAAGUCCUGAAUGUGAUGAUAUACACGUCCUAUUAGCAUCAUUUAGAAUCAGGAUUCCAACGUUUGAAUACCAACUACCCUAUUUACUCUCUGACUUUUGUAAAAAUUUUAACCUCGUUGAGGGAGUUCCCGUCGUGGCACAGCAGAAAUGAAUCCAACUAGGAACCAUGAGGUUGUGGGUCCAAUCCCUGGCCUCCCUCAGUGGGUUAAGGAUCUGGCACUGCCGUGAGCGUGAGCUGUGGUGUAGGUUGCAGCCGCAGCUCAGAACCCACAUUGCUGUGGCUGUGGCAUGGGCCGGCGGGGCUGCAGCUCUGAUUAGACCCCUAGCUUGGGAACCUCCCUAUACUGUGGGUGCGGCCCUAAAAAGGACCAAAAAAAAGAAAAAAGAAAAAAAAAUUUAACCUCUUUGAGCUUUGGUUUCCUUUAUUUUAAAAAUGUAAAUAUCAAUAGCUACUUCACAGAACUGUUUUAAGGAUUAAAUAAACUUACACAAAAACACUUAAUGCCUGGUACAUACAUCUCAAAAAUGUUUCAAAACAUACCAUAUUACCUACCAUUGGGGGGGAGCUGGGGGAAGGGUCCACAGGACCUUCCUGUACAUUUUUCACAACUUCCUGUGAAUCUGUAAUUAUUUCAAAAU
RNAcentral lists this long non-coding RNA (2137 nucleotides) under Sus scrofa (pig). Its description in RNAcentral is "lncRNA (ENSSSCG00000051754.2)". The record is from RNAcentral. Lineage: Eukaryota; Metazoa; Chordata; Mammalia; Artiodactyla; Suidae.